UAGCCAUGAUUCACCUCUCUCACAGGUGGGUGGUGGUCAGGCGCGCAUGAGGUUGCAGCCUCGCAUGCGCCGCCU
This 75-nucleotide unclassified non-coding RNA is filed under the name Ralstonia sp. NFACC01. RNAcentral describes it as "Plasmid transferred anti-sense RNA". The record is from RNAcentral. Lineage: Bacteria; Pseudomonadati; Pseudomonadota; Betaproteobacteria; Burkholderiales; Burkholderiaceae.